UCUGUCCUGCACUUUAGAAGACGAGUUGUCCAGAAGAUGGAGGUCGGUUGUUCUGGAGGUGUAGAUUCUACAAGUCUCCCUGCUUUUCCCUGGUUGGUCCCCUACAGUUGAUGAUCUAGGAACCGGCAAGCUGCAGAGCCCAGGUAGCCUAUCCCGGCCCAAACCCAGGGUACAGAGAAGAUAACUGAGGCUCUCAGUGGAGUGAUUUGUCUAAAUCCCCACAGCCAGCCAAGUCAACCUCACAGGAAUGCCUCCCCUGGAUUAGUAGAGGAGGAAUGGAGAAGAGUGUACUUCACUCACCAUCAUCUUGAGCUGGGACUUCCAGACACAGGCCAUCCUCCACGUUGUUUCCACAGAAGAGUCAACCUAGCUGAGCCUUAUCACCCUCCAUCCUAUAAUAAAAGUUGUUUGCCGAGGUAAAAUGAAAUGUCAGAGUGGAGUUUUCUGAGCUGUUGGAAACUGCUAAGAUCAUUGAAAUUUGACACAAGAUGCAAUCAUCCGCCUGAAGGAUUUUGACAACACUCACGUUUUUAAACUCCACAUUCCCUAUCCCUAGGAAAGAAACCUCAAUAAAU
Molecule: long non-coding RNA, 575 nt
Filed under: Homo sapiens (human)
Lineage: Eukaryota; Metazoa; Chordata; Mammalia; Primates; Hominidae
Description: HSALNT0203549
Source: RNAcentral